This 503-nucleotide ribosomal RNA is filed under the name uncultured bacterium. Its description in RNAcentral is "partial 16S ribosomal RNA". It matches the Rfam family "Bacterial small subunit ribosomal RNA", at positions 30 to 523 of the family's 1533-position model. The record is from RNAcentral.
AUUGAACGCUGGCGGCAGGCUUAACACAUGCAAGUCGAGCGGGGUGAUGGUGCUUGCACUAUCACUUAGCGGCGGACGGGUGAGUAAUGCUUAGGAAUCUGCCUAUUAGUGGGGGACAACAUCUCGAAAGGGAUGCUAAUACCGCAUACGUCCUACGGGAGAAAGCAGGGGAUCACUUGUGACCUUGCGCUAAUAGAUGAGCCUAAGUCGGAUUAGCUAGUUGGUGGGGUAAAGGCCUACCAAGGCGACGAUCUGUAGCGGGUCUGAGGGGAUGAUCCGCCGCACUGAGACUGAGAAACGGCCCAGACGCCUACGGGAGGCAGCAGUGGGGAAUAUUGGACAAUGGGGGGAACCCUGAUCCAGCCAUGCCGCGUGUGUGAAGAAGGCCUUAUGGUUGUAAAGCACUUUAAGCGAGGAGGAGGCUCUUUUGGUUAAUACCCAAGAUGAGUGGACGUUACUCGCAGAAUAAGCACCGGCUAACUCUGUGCCAGCCGCCGCCGUAA